GAGUUUGAUCCUGGCUCAGGAUGAACGCUGGCGGCGUGCCUAAUACAUGCAAGUCGAACGCUUCACUUCGGUGAAGAGUGGCGAACGGGUGAGUAAUACAUAAGUAACCUGGCAUCUACAGGGGGAUAACUGAUGGAAACGUCAGCUAAGACCGCAUAGGUGUAGAGAUCGCAUGAACUCUAUAUGAAAAGUGCUACGGGACUGGUAGAUGAUGGACUUAUGGCGCAUUAGCUGGUUGGUAGGGUAACGGCCUACCAAGGCGACGAUGCGUAGCCGACCUGAGAGGGUGACCGGCCACACUGGGACUGAGACACGGCCCAGACUCCUACGGGAGGCAGCAGUAGGGAAUUUUCGGCAAUGGGGGAAACCCUGACCGAGCAACGCCGCGUGAAGGAAGAAGUAAUUCGUUAUGUAAACUUCUGUCAUAGAGGAAGAACGGUGGAUAUAGGGAAUGAUAUCCAAGUGACGGUACUCUAUAAGAAAGCCACGGCUAACUACGUGCCAGCCGCCGCGGUAAUUC
This 520-nucleotide ribosomal RNA is filed under the name uncultured bacterium. RNAcentral describes it as "bacterial SSU rRNA". It matches the Rfam family "Bacterial small subunit ribosomal RNA", at positions 9 to 526 of the family's 1533-position model. The record is from RNAcentral.